This is a non-coding RNA of Prunus avium (sweet cherry), 611 nucleotides long. The record is from RefSeq and is a predicted model, not a curated record. NCBI's taxonomy places the organism in Eukaryota, Viridiplantae, Streptophyta, Magnoliopsida, Rosales, Rosaceae.
AUUUUUGUAAUAUUGAAUUUGCAAGACCUGCUUGUACGGGACCAAAGCUGUUAGCUAAUCUUUGCUCCUCUGGCUAGUUCGCUCACUUUCCCCUUUUAUGAAUAUUUACAUUCAGACGGCUUCAUGAAUUAUUGGCUGACUUGAUUACCUACAUUCCUUUUUCUGUGCAUGGAAGAUAAAGAAGUCUGUGGGUAUGCAGGUAAUGUUAUCCACUUUCUGUGAUUGAGUUCAAAACUUAAUAUCAAUAUAGAAUUUCUUUAUUUUAUAUUGAUGUCACGUUUUGGUUGUAUAUGAUCAUGAACAUUCUGAAUAUACUGGUCCUCAUCUUUCUGGGAGGAAAUUCUCGUCUUGAUUAUUGUGUUGUUGCUCACCAUGCCCUUCAAAUUCAUUGGAGGGCAUGUCCACUCUUUCGCUUUGGGAUGAGAUUUGUAUGAGUACGAAAGGCUCCAACCAAAGCAAGACUUAGACUUAUGAUGGGCGUUACUUGGAGAUGUUACGGGGAAAGUAAAGUUUUUAGGUGACAUUAUUUGUAGAGAGCUGGGUUUAUUUUAGUAUGUUUAAUUGUAAAUGUAUUUAUACAUUUAAGUAUAUGCUUGUAUUUUAAAUUAUUA